UGUAUACGAGCCGUAUACUAAAAGAUACUAAAAAAGAAAACCUAUAUCAAAAAAGGAGACCCAAUCUUCUAUACAAACCGGGUUCUCAUAGGAACACCAAAAACAAACUAGAACAAAAGACUAUUUUCCAGCUUUACAAUAUCUUGUGCAACCCCUUCAAAUGCUCUUCUCUUUCUCUCUCUCCAAACAACGCUCAACAACUUUACAAAAAAAAAAAG
This 218-nucleotide long non-coding RNA is filed under the name Solanum tuberosum (potato). RNAcentral's name for it is "long non-coding RNA (STUB_LNC008232)". Lineage: Eukaryota; Viridiplantae; Streptophyta; Magnoliopsida; Solanales; Solanaceae. The record is from RNAcentral.